UGUAAAUCAGACAAACAAACUGCUCUACCAGGAGGAGCUGCUGAAGGAUGUGACAGGAAAACACAGCCUGGAGGUGAAGGGUACCGCAUGUGCUUCAGUGCAGACGUGUGUUGUGUGUGUGUGAGAAAUGGGACUGACAUUAUGUGUUGAUCCUUCUGCCAGAUGUCCGAAAUAAACGACAAGUUUGCCAAGUGACGGCCUUCUUCUGUGAAAUACACAACGCAACGAGAGAGAGAGUA
Larimichthys crocea (large yellow croaker) is the source of this 239-nucleotide long non-coding RNA. RefSeq lists it as uncharacterized. The record is from RefSeq and is a predicted model, not a curated record. The transcript is spliced from 3 exons. NCBI's taxonomy places the organism in Eukaryota, Metazoa, Chordata, Actinopteri, Sciaenidae.